This 354-nucleotide ribosomal RNA is filed under the name uncultured bacterium. Its description in RNAcentral is "bacterial SSU rRNA". It matches the Rfam family "Bacterial small subunit ribosomal RNA", at positions 527 to 881 of the family's 1533-position model. The record is from RNAcentral.
GUAGGGUGCGAGCGUUAAUCGGAAUUACUGGGCGUAAAGCGUGCGCAGGCGGUUGGGUAAGACAGAUGUGAAAUCCCCGGGCUUAACCUGGGAACUGCAUUUGUGACUGUCCGACUGGAGUAUGUCGGAGGGGGGUGGAAUUCCAAGUGUAGCAGUGAAAUGCGUAGAUAUUUGGAAGAACACCGAUGGCGAAGGCAGCCCCCUGGGGCAAAACUGACGCUCAUGCACGAAAGCGUGGGGAGCAAACAGGAUUAGAUACCCUGGUAGUCCACGCCCUAAACGAUGUCUACUGGUUGUUGGAGGGUAAAACCUUCAGUAACGAAGCUAACGCGUGAAGUAGACCGCCUGGGGAGU